Molecule: ribosomal RNA, 253 nt
Filed under: uncultured bacterium
Lineage: Bacteria
Description: partial 16S ribosomal RNA
Rfam family: Bacterial small subunit ribosomal RNA
Source: RNAcentral
UACGUAGGGUGCGAGCGUUAAUCGGAAUUACUGGGCGUAAAGCGUGCGCAGGCGGUUUUGUAAGUCAGAUGUGAAAUCCCCGGGCUCAACCUGGGAAUGGCAUUUGGGACUGCAAGGCUGGAGUGUGGCAGAGGAGACUGGAAUUCCUGGUGUAGCGGUGAAAUGCGCAGAUAUCAGGAGGAACACCAAUGGCGAAGGCAGCUCGCUGGGACGGUACUGACGCUGAGACGCGAAAGCGUGGGGAGCAAACAGG